RNAcentral lists this ribosomal RNA (506 nucleotides) under uncultured bacterium. Its description in RNAcentral is "bacterial SSU rRNA". It matches the Rfam family "Bacterial small subunit ribosomal RNA", at positions 41 to 529 of the family's 1533-position model. The record is from RNAcentral.
GGCGGGCCUAACACAUGCAAGUCGAGCGAGAAAGGGACUUCGGUCCUGAGUAAAGCGGCGGACGGGUGAAUAUCGCGUAGGUAACCUGCCCUUCAGCGGGGGAUAACGGUCCGAAAGGACCGCUAAUACCGCGUACGUAUCCUGGGGCUCCGGCCCUGGGGUGGAAAGCUAGGUAGCAAUAUCUGGCACUGGAGGAGGGGCCUGCGUCGCAUCAGCUAGUUGGUGGGGUAACGGCCUACCAAGGCGAAGACGCGUAGCUGGUCUGAGAGGAUGAUCAGCCACACUGGGACUGAGACACGGCCCAGACUCCUACGGGAGGCAGCAGUGGGGAAUAUUGGACAAUGGGCGCAAGCCUGAUCCAGCCACGCCGCGUGAGUGAUGAAGGCCUUCGGGUCGUAAAGCUCUGUGGGGANGGACGAACCGCCGCUGGUUAAUACCCAGCGGCAUGACGGUACCUCCUUAACAAGCACCGGCUAACUUCGUGCCAGCAGCCGCGGUAAUACGAA